AGACCCGAAACCCGGUGAUCUAGCCAUGGGCAGGUUGAAGGUUGGGUAACACUAACUGGAGGACCGAACCGACUAAUGUUGAAAAAUUAGCGGAUGACCUGUGGCUGGGGGUGAAAGGCCAAUCAAACCGGGAGAUAGCUGGUUCUCCCCGAAAGCUAUUUAGGUAGCGCCUCGUGAAUUCAUCUCCGGGGGUAGAGCACUGUUUCGGCUAGGGGGCCAUCCCGGCUUACCAACCCGAUGCAAACUGCGAAUACCGGAGAAUGUUAUCACGGGAGACACACGGCGGGUGCUAACGUCCGUCGUGAAGAGGGAAACAACCCAGACCGCCAGCUAAGGUCCCAAAGUCAUGGUUAAGUGGGAAACGAUGUGGGAAGGCCCAGACAGCCAGGAUGUUGGCUUAGAAGCAGCCAUCAUUUAAAGAAAGCGUAAUAGCUCACUGGUCGAGUCGGCCUGCGCGGAAGAUGUAACGGGGCUAAACCAUGCACCGAAGCUGCGGCAGCGACGCUUAUGCGUUGUUGGGUAGGGGAGCGUUCUGUAAGCCUGUGAAGGUGUGUCGUGAGGCAUGCUGGAGGUAUCAGAAGUGCGAAUGCUGACAUAAGUAACGAUAAAGCGGGUGAAAAGCCCGCUCGCCGGAAGACCAAGGGUUCCUGUCCAACGUUAAUCGGGGCAGGGUGAGUCGACCCCUAAGGCGAGGCCGAAAGGCGUAGUCGAUGGGAAACGGGUUAAUAUUCCCGUACUUGGUGUUACUGCGAAGGGGGGACGGAGAAGGCUAUGUUGGCCGGGCGACGGUUGUCCCGGUUUAAGCGUGUAGGUGUGUGUUCCAGGUAAAUCCGGUUCACUUUAACACUGAGGCGUGAUGACGAGGCACUACGGUGCUGAAGUAACAAAUGCCCUGCUUCCAGGAAAAGCCUCUAAGCAUCAGGUAACAUCAAAUCGUACCCCAAACCGACACAGGUGGUCAGGUAGAGAAUACCAAGGCGCUUGAGAGAACUCGGGUGAAGGAACUAGGCAAAAUGGUGCCGUAACUUCGGGAGAAGGCACGCUGACACGUAGGUGAAGUGAUUUACUCACGGAGCUGAAGUCAGUCGAAGAUACCAGCUGGCUGCAACUGUUUAUUAAAAACACAGCACUGUGCAAACACGAAAGUGGACGUAUACGGUGUGACGCCUGCCCGGUGCCGGAAGGUUAAUUGAUGGGGUCAGCGCAAGCGAAGCUCCUGAUCGAAGCCCCGGUAAACGGCGGCCGUAACUAUAACGGUCCUAAGGUAGCGAAAUUCCUUGUCGGGUAAGUUCCGACCUGCACGAAUGGCGUAAUGAUGGCCAGGCUGUCUCCACCCGAGACUCAGUGAAAUUGAACUCGCUGUGAAGAUGCAGUGUACCCGCGGCAAGACGGAAAGACCCCGUGAACCUUUACUAUAGCUUGACACUGAACAUUGAGCCUUGAUGUGUAGGAUAGGUGGGAGGCUUUGAAGUGUGGACGCCAGUCUGCAUGGAGCCGACCUUGAAAUACCACCCUUUAAUGUUUGAUGUUCUAACGUGGACCCGUUACCCGGGUUGCGGACAGUGUCUGGUGGGUAGUUUGACUGGGGCGGUCUCCUCCUAAAGAGUAACGGAGGAGCACGAAGGUUGGCUAAUCCUGGUCGGACAUCAGGAGGUUAGUGCAAUGGCAUAAGCCAGCUUGACUGCGAGCGUGACGGCGCGAGCAGGUGCGAAAGCAGGUCAUAGUGAUCCGGUGGUUCUGAAUGGAAGGGCCAUCGCUCAACGGAUAAAAGGUACUCCGGGGAUAACAGGCUGAUACCGCCCAAGAGUUCAUAUCGACGGCGGUGUUUGGCACCUCGAUGUCGGCUCAUCACAUCCUGGGGCUGAAGUAGGUCCCAAGGGUAUGGCUGUUCGCCAUUUAAAGUGGUACGCGAGCUGGGUUUAGAACGUCGUGAGACAGUUCGGUCCCUAUCUGCCGUGGGCGCUGGAGAACUGAGGGGGGCUGCUCCUAGUACGAGAGGACCGGAGUGGACGCAUCACUGGUGUUCGGGUUGUCAUGCCAAUGGCACUGCCCGGUAGCUAAAUGCGGAAGAGAUAAGUGCUGAAAGCAUCUAAGCACGAAACUUGCCCCGA
This 2111-nucleotide ribosomal RNA is filed under the name Salmonella enterica subsp. enterica serovar Berta. RNAcentral describes it as "partial 23S ribosomal RNA". It matches the Rfam family "Bacterial large subunit ribosomal RNA", at positions 711 to 2802 of the family's 2925-position model. Lineage: Bacteria; Pseudomonadati; Pseudomonadota; Gammaproteobacteria; Enterobacterales; Enterobacteriaceae. The record is from RNAcentral. RNAcentral also lists the same sequence under 1 other name.